CUAAAUCAAUAAGGCUACGCUAAGCACAAUACACGCAAAUGGAGGAGGACAAUUACAUUACCGACAAAAUUCACUUCUUCAUUCUGAUUGAUAGAGAUAUGAAACAGGUAAAACUACAAAUAGAGCGAUCGCAAAGCUCUAAUAAGUUCUUCAUAUAAAAAAGAGGUUCUAUUUAGUUACAUGGCUGAAAACCCACUUAAACUAGCCAAGGAAGGGAUUACAGAGUUCAGACUAGAGAAUCAAGAUAAAAUAAAGAAGGAAUAGAAUAUCUCUGACCUGCAGCUGAGAAGUUUACUAGUUUUGCCAGCAGAGACUUCUUCUACCCUCCUGCAUGAUCUCGAAAGCGAGUUUGUAUCUUUCCAAAGAUGCUGCUCCUGCCUCAAUAAAAUUACGGGCUUCUUCUCGUAAACUCCAAAACAUCAGGGGCUUGAAAUCUUGAGAACCACCUGCUGAAUCAGCAUCUCGGAGUAUUCCAUAUUUCGCAUUUUUGGUCCAUCGAUGCAAGAUAUAGCGAGAUGGAAGUUCCCUUAUGUUCAUUAUUUGAAAUACCUUCAAAGCAUGCCUGCAAAGAACACCCUCAAACUCAAACAUUUUACAACUACAACUGAUAUUGAGAUUGGAUGCAUUAAAGGCAACGGUAUUCCUCUCAUCUCCAUUUCCGCACUUCUGUACCAGAUAUCUACUGAUGGCUCCUUCGACAUUUAUUUUUAUUCCCGCAUAGCUAUAGCAUUCUAAAAGCUCUUUCUGAAAUACUUUGAACAUUGUGACAGUGUAAAGCCUUCUACACUGUUCUUCUAUGGGGUCUUUUGUAUGCAAAACUGCUUGCAUAUUAAACGAGUUAAAAUCCUCCUUCCUUUCCUCUUCGCGGCGUUGUUCAAGAGCUUUCUCAUAUCUUACAACAAAUUCACUGAGAGGUGUUUGGGCUGUCAAUAGCGGACCGAAAUAUGAUUUCAAACUUCCAUCCACAGGAAUGCCAGCAAAGAAUGCACCCUUUAUGUGCAGGGGAACCCAACUUUUACGCAUUCUGUACAUCUCCUUCAACCAAGCAUUCUCUCUCAAGUUAUAUUUAUUCAUAAGCAUAUUCCAUGCAAAAUCAAAUUCACU
This 1104-nucleotide long non-coding RNA is filed under the name Olea europaea subsp. europaea. Lineage: Eukaryota; Viridiplantae; Streptophyta; Magnoliopsida; Lamiales; Oleaceae. The record is from RNAcentral.